This 671-nucleotide ribosomal RNA is filed under the name uncultured beta proteobacterium. Its description in RNAcentral is "bacterial SSU rRNA". It matches the Rfam family "Bacterial small subunit ribosomal RNA", at positions 41 to 705 of the family's 1533-position model. The record is from RNAcentral. Lineage: Bacteria; Pseudomonadati; Pseudomonadota; Betaproteobacteria.
GGCAUGCCUUACACAUGCAAGUCGAACGGCAGCACGGGUGCUUGCACCUGGUGGCGAGUGGCGAACGGGUGAGUAAUACAUCGGAACAUGUCCUGUAGUGGGGGAUAGCCCGGCGAAAGCCGGAUUAAUACCGCAUACGAUCUACGGAUGAAAGCGGGGGACCUUCGGGCCUCGCGCUAUAGGGUUGGCCGAUGGCUGAUUAGCUAGUUGGUGGGGUAAAGGCCUACCAAGGCGACGAUCAGUAGCUGGUCUGAGAGGACGACCAGCCACACUGGGACUGAGACACGGCCCAGACUCCUACGGGAGGCAGCAGUGGGGAAUUUUGGACAAUGGGCGAAAGCCUGAUCCAGCAAUGCCGCGUGUGUGAAGAAGGCCUUCGGGUCGUAAAGCACUUUUGUCCGGAAAGAAAUCCUUGGUUCUAAUAUAGCCGGGGGAUGACGGUACCGGAAGAAUAAGCACCGGCUAACUACGUGCCAGCAGCCGCGGUAAUACGUAGGGUGCGAGCGUUAAUCGGAAUUACUGGGCGUAAAGCGUGCGCAGGCGGUUUGCUAAGACCGAUGUGAAAUCCCCGGGCUCAACCUGGGAACUGCAUUGGUGACUGGCAGGCUAGGGUAUGGCAGAGGGGGGUAGAAUUCCACGUGUAGCAGUGAAAUGCGUAGAGAUGUGGAGGA